Molecule: ribosomal RNA, 458 nt
Filed under: uncultured fungus
Lineage: Eukaryota; Fungi
Description: partial small subunit ribosomal RNA
Rfam family: Eukaryotic small subunit ribosomal RNA
Source: RNAcentral
GCUUGUCUCAAAGAUUAAGCCAUGCAUGUGUAAGUAUCAGAAGUCUGAACUUCAAAACUGCGAAUGGCUCAUUAUAUCAGUUAUAGUUUAUUUGAUAGUACCUUACUACUUGGAUAACCGUAGUAAUUCUAGAGCUAAUACAUGCACUCGAGCCUCGACCGAGGCCCCGGCAACGGGGUCGCGGAAGAGGUGCUUUUAUUAGAUCAAAACCAGUCGGGGAAACGAUCGCCGGGUCAAACCGGUCGGUCGCGGAACCGUACCAAUUUUGGUGACUCUGGAUAACUUCACGCCGAUCGCACGGCCUUCGCGCCGGCGACGUAUCUUUCAAAUGUCUGCCUUAUCAACUGUCGAUGGUAGGUUACGCGCCUACCAUGGUUGCAACGGGUAACGGGGAAUCGGGGUUCGAUUCCGGAGAGGGAGCCUGAGAAACGGCUACCACAUCCAAGGAAGGCAGCAGG